GACGAACGCUGGCGGCGUGCUUAACACAUGCAAGUCGAACGGAAAGGCCCUGCUUUUGUGGGGUGCUCGAGUGGCGAACGGGUGAGUAACACGUGAGUAACCUGCCCUUGACUUUGGGAUAACUUCAGGAAACUGGGGCUAAUACCGGAUAGGAGCUCCUGCUGCAUGGUGGGGGUUGGAAAGUUUCGGCGGUUGGGGAUGGACUCGCGGCUUAUCAGCUUGUUGGUGAGGUAGUGGCUUACCAAGGCUUUGACGGGUAGCCGGCCUGAGAGGGUGACCGGCCACCUUGGGACUGAGAUACGGACCAGACUCCUACGGGAGGCAGCAGUGGGGAAUAUUGCACAAUGGGCGGAAGCCUGAUGCAGAAACGCUGCGUGCGGGAUGACGGCCUUCGGGUUGUAAACCGCUUUCGAAUGUGCCGAAGCGUGAGUGACGGUAAUGGGUAAAGAAGCACCGGCUAACUACGUG
RNAcentral lists this ribosomal RNA (468 nucleotides) under uncultured bacterium. Its description in RNAcentral is "partial 16S ribosomal RNA". It matches the Rfam family "Bacterial small subunit ribosomal RNA", at positions 28 to 507 of the family's 1533-position model. The record is from RNAcentral.